RNAcentral lists this ribosomal RNA (485 nucleotides) under Acipenser schrenckii x Huso dauricus. RNAcentral describes it as "SSU rRNA". It matches the Rfam family "Eukaryotic small subunit ribosomal RNA", at positions 977 to 1482 of the family's 1831-position model. Lineage: Eukaryota; Metazoa; Chordata; Actinopteri; Acipenseriformes; Acipenseridae. The record is from RNAcentral.
UCAAGAACGAAAGUCGGAGGUUCGAAGACGAUCACAUACCGUCGUAGUUCCGACCAUAAACGAUGCCGACUGGCGAUCCGGCGGCGUUAUUUCCCAUGACCCGCCGAGCAGCCUCCGGGAAACCAAAGUGUUUGGGUUCCGGGGGGAGUAUUGUUGCAAAGCUGAAACUUAAAGGAAUUGACGGAAGGGCACCACCAGGAGUGGAGCCUGCGGCUUAAUUUGACUCAACACGGGGAACCUCACCCGGCCCGGACACGGGAAGGAUUGACAGAUGGAUAGCUCUUUCUCUAUUCCGUGGGUGGUGGUGCAUGGCCGUUCUUAGUUGGUGGAGUGAUUUGUCUGGUUAAUUCCGAUAACGAACGAGACUCCGGCAUGCUAACUAGUUAUGCGGCCCCGUGCGGUCGGUGCCAACUUCUUAGAGGGACUGGUGGCUCUCAGCCACACGAGAUGGAGCAAUAACAGGUCUGUGAUGCCCUUAGAUGUCC